RNAcentral lists this ribosomal RNA (411 nucleotides) under uncultured bacterium. RNAcentral describes it as "bacterial SSU rRNA". It matches the Rfam family "Bacterial small subunit ribosomal RNA", at positions 355 to 776 of the family's 1533-position model. The record is from RNAcentral.
UCGAGAAUCUUCCGCAAUGGACGAAAGUCUGACGGAGCGACGUUUCGUGAAUGAUGACGCCCUUCGGGGUGUAAAGUUCUUUUAUAUGGGAAGAAGCGCAAGCAGACUGUACCAUAUGAAUAAGAGGAUCCUAAUUCUGUGCCAGCAGGAGCGGUAAUACAGAAUCCUCGAGCGUUACCCGGAUUUAUUGGGCGUAAAGGGUCCGUAGGUGGUCAAGUAAGUUAAGAGUUAAAACUCAUCGGCUCAACCUUUGAGGUGCUCUUAAUACUGCUAGACUAGAGGAUGUUAGGGGUGAACGGAACCGACGGAGUAGGGGUGAAAUCCGUUGAUAUCGUCGGGAACACCAAAAGCGAAGGCAGUUCACUAGGACAAUCCUGACACUGAGGGACGAAAGCGUGGGGAGCAAAAAGG